Molecule: ribosomal RNA, 292 nt
Filed under: uncultured bacterium
Lineage: Bacteria
Description: partial 16S ribosomal RNA
Rfam family: Bacterial small subunit ribosomal RNA
Source: RNAcentral
GUGCCAGCAGCCGCGGUAAUACGAAGGGGGCUAGCGUUACUCGGAAUUACUGGGCGUAAAGGGCGCGUAGGCGGCUCGGUCAGUCAGGCGUGAAAUUCCUGGGCUUAACCUGGGGACUGCGCUUGAUACUGUCGAGCUUGAGGCCGAGAGAGGGUGGUGGAAUUCCCAGUGUAGAGGUGAAAUUCGUAGAUAUUGGGAAGAACACCGGUGGCGAAGGCGACCACCUGGCUCGGUACUGACGCUGAGGCGCGACAGCGUGGGGAGCAAACAGGAUUAGAAACCCCGGUAGUCC